UCGGGUGUGGUGCACGGCGUACGGCGGCUUUCAUUCGACGAGAACGAAAGGUUUCAGCCGCAGGACGGGGUUCGACUCCCCGCACCCGAC
Molecule: non-coding RNA, 90 nt
Organism: Mycena vulgaris
Lineage: Eukaryota; Fungi; Basidiomycota; Agaricomycetes; Agaricales; Mycenaceae
Source: the annotation of a GenBank genome assembly